UUACCGUUAGGGUGCAGCAGGCGGGCGCCACGCGCGUCCCCGCAGCUCGUCCGGGGGCUGGGCCGACGUUUCUAUCCAGGUUAAGAUGGCAUCCUAGUGAUGCGAAGCGGCGAGAGCCGCACCUGAGUCGAAGGCCAAAAAAACAGCGACCGGCGUCGACAGCGGGGACCCACCAGUCCGCCCGCGAAUCCCAUACACCUUCCACCCUUGCUCAUGAGAACCUCAUCGUUUCCUCGGCGGGCUCGCCCGCCGGCGGACAUCAACAAAACCCCUUGCAGUUAAGCAGUGCCUUGUCUGAACAAAAAAGCAAAUAGUUAAAACUUUCAACGACGGAUCUCUUGGUUCUGGCAUCGAUGAAGAACGCAGCGAAAUGCGAUAAGUAGUGUGAAUUGCAGAAUUCAGUGAAUCAUCGAAUCUUUGAACGCACAUUGCGCCCUUUGGUAUUCCGAAGGGCAUGCCUGUUCGAGCGUCAUUUGACCCCUCAAGCUCUGCUUGGUGUUGGGCGCUUGUCCCCCCCUCCUCGGGCGGGACUCGCCUUGAAGUCAUCGGCGCCGACGAGCCGCACCGGAGCGCAGCAGAUGAGGCGCUCUCCCGGGGCGGCCCGCCGGCCACCGUCAAGGAAAACCACGCUCUUGACCUCGGAUCAGGCAGGGAUACCCGCUGAACUUAAGCAUAUCAAUAAGCGGAGGAAAAGAAACCAACAGGGAUUGCCCUAGUAACGGCGAGUGAAGCGGCAACAGCUCAAAUUUGAAAUCUGGCUCCCUUCGGGGCCCGAGUUGUAAUUUGCAGAGGGCGCUUCGGCGGCGGCCCCGGCCUAAGUUCCUUGGAACAGGACGUCACAGAGGGUGAGAAUCCCGUACGUGGCUGGCGGCCAACGCCAUGUGAAGCCCCUUCGACGAGUCGAGUUGUUUGGGAAUGCAGCUCUAAAUGGGAGGUAAAUUUCUUCUAAAGCUAAAUACUGGCCAGAGACCGAUAGCGCACAAGUAGAGUGAUCGAAAGAUGAAAAGCACUUUGGAAAGAGAGUCAAAAAGCACGUGAAAUCGUUGAAAGGGAAGCGCUUGCAGCCAGACGUGCCCGCGGAUGCUCACCCAGGCCCACGGCCUGGUGCACUCUUCCGCGGGCAGGCCAGCAUCAGCUCUGGCGGUCGGAUAAAGGUCCCGGGAAUGUGGCUCCCCUCGGGG
Molecule: ribosomal RNA, 1181 nt
Filed under: Dothideomycetes sp. genotype 744 JMUR-2016
Lineage: Eukaryota; Fungi; Ascomycota; Dothideomycetes
Description: eukaryotic LSU rRNA
Rfam family: Eukaryotic large subunit ribosomal RNA (bases 634-1181)
Source: RNAcentral